CUACGGGUUGCUGCAGUGGGGAAUAUUGGACAAUGGACGAAAGUCCGAUCCAGCGACACCGCGUGGGGGGUGAAGGCUUUCGGGUUGUAAACCCCUUUUCUGGAGGAAGAAUAAGGUUGGGAGGAAAUGCCCAUCCGAUGACGGUACUCCAGGAAUAAGCAUCGGCAAACUUCGUGCCAGCAGCCGCGGUAAGACGAAGGAUGCGAGCGUUAUCCGGAAUUACUGGGCGUAAAGGACGUCUAGGCGGUUGGAUAAGUCAUUUGUGAAAUCCCAGGGCUUAACCCUGGAAGGUCUUGUGAUACUGUCCGGCUUGGGUGUAGGAGAGGAGAGCGGAACUCACAGAGUAGCGGUGGAAUGCGUAGAUACUGUGAGGUACCCCGAUGGCGAAGGCAGCUCUCUGGCCUACUACCGACGCUGAAGCGUGAAAGCGUGGGGAGCAAAGGGGAUUAGAUACCCUCGUAGUC
This 464-nucleotide ribosomal RNA is filed under the name uncultured bacterium. Its description in RNAcentral is "partial 16S ribosomal RNA". It matches the Rfam family "Bacterial small subunit ribosomal RNA", at positions 339 to 795 of the family's 1533-position model. The record is from RNAcentral.